RNAcentral lists this ribosomal RNA (490 nucleotides) under uncultured bacterium. RNAcentral's name for it is "partial 16S ribosomal RNA". It matches the Rfam family "Bacterial small subunit ribosomal RNA", at positions 29 to 507 of the family's 1533-position model. The record is from RNAcentral.
AGUGAACGCUGGCGGUAGGCCUAACACAUGCAAGUCGAACGGCAGCACAGGAGAGCUUGCUCUCUAGGUGGCGAGUGGCGGACGGGUGAGGAAUACAUCGGAAUCUGCCCAGUCGUGGGGGAUAACGUAGGGAAACUUACGCUAAUACCGCAUACGACCUUCGGGUGAAAGAGGGGGAUCGCAAGACCUCUCGCGAUUGGAUGAGCCGAUGUCGGAUUAGCUAGUUAGCGGGGUAAUGGCCCACCAAGGCGACCAUCCGUAGCUGGUCUGAGAGGAUGAUCAGCCACACUGGAACUGAGACACGGUCCAGACUCCUACGGGAGGCAGCAGUGGGGAAUAUUGGACAAUGGGCGCAAGCCUGAUCCAGCCAUACCGCGUGGGUGAAGAAGGCCUUCGGGUUGUAAAGCCCUUUUGUUGGGAAAGAAAUCUUUCAGGCUAAUACCCUGGGAGGAUGACGGUACCCAAAGAAUAAGCACCGGCUAACUUCGUG